AUGCCGCCGCCGCCGCCGCCACCGUUCCCUCGUAUCCUGCUUGGGUUCUCCUCGAAAAGAAGGGCUACGACGACGAGCUCGACCGCGUACGCCGCCAGCGCUACGUCGGAGACAUUCGGCGGUCGCGCCGUCAAGGUGGCCUUCUACCUCGUGCCUCCGCCGGAAGUCUCCUACUUCUGCUUCCACCUCUCCAAGCUCGAGGGCGACGACGACGACUUCGACUUCCAGCCACUGUUUCUCUUUUCAGCUAAGGGUUUCGUCCUCUUUCGUUUGCUCUUCAUCAAUCGAAGCGACAGAAGCAAUCUCGUCGAGUACUUCAUGUACAAGGCAGGGGGCGGCAAACCGUCGCUCGAACCUAUCCCGUCAACUCCUCUAGGUAGCAGUUGCGAUUCGAUAUGCUUGAGCAUCGUUCCCUGCCCCGAUGACGAGGACAACUAUGUCCUUGCCGAUCUCUCUGUGGGUAGGGACCUUGGGCACUACGACCUCCACGUUUACUCGUCUAAGACGCACCAGUGGAGCACCAAGCCGUUGCAGCUGCCGGAAUCUCCUGCCGUCAGGACAAAUGACGACCUGCCUUGUCAAUUCAAUAAGGUGCUCGUGCUUGGAGCAAAUGAGUUUGGCUGGGUAGACCUCUGGCGUGGCAUUGUCACCUGCAAGGUGCUUGAUAAUGACCCAGUUCUCCGACUCAUCCCUCUCCCCAAACCUGAAAUCAACAAUCCCCAUGUAAUUGGAGGAGAUGUGGAGUUUAUCCGGGAUGUCACCUACCGCAAUGGGAUCUUCAAGUUCAUUGAGAUUGAUAAUUUUUGCAUACCAGCUAUUGCUCGUGAUGAGACUUCUAAUAUCAUUUCCAAGACGAUGCAGCAUUUUGACAGCAACGAUAUCAUACAUGAUUCAGAGCUCAUCUAUCCUGUUUUAAAGCAAGCGGAACCUAUUAUUGUCCCUGAUGGUUGGAAGAUCCAGUCAUAUUUUAGGUUUCCUUCACGGGACUAUUGGCUCAGGACCCAUGCUGUUCAUGUUGAUGACAUCUCCGAGUAUGACCCAAAGUAUUGUAAGGUGUCGCCUCAGUGGCUUGCUUUUGCUGAAAACUCGACAUUGAGGAACCUGAAAACAUAUUGCCCGACCUUUGGCAUUCAUGGUGACAGUGUUGUCUACCUUUUAGCAAAGGUGAAACCUGAAGAUUACAAGACAUGGAUUGUUGGUGUUGACAUUGAAAAGAAGAUGUUGAGACUAAUUCAACCAUAUACUUAUGCGGAAGGUGGCUAUGCUCUACCAACGUUGCUUCCCUCUACAUUCUCCUAUUAUCUGAAUAAUACAACUCCAGGUCUUUUCCCAUCCACAGAGACAAACUACUCUGAGAAUGCCCUCAAUAAUGCAACAAUCCAUGGUGAUACCUCUGUACCUGAUUUGGGUUACGAUCCACUAUCAUGUGCUGGGGAAGCCACAUCUGCACCAAGAACAUUGAAUUUCGAGGAAACCAAUCAGCCACUGAGUUCGAAUGAAUGUGGUAAUAUAGGGCAGACCAUUACACUACAGUCCCUGCAUGCCAUUUUGACCUCAUCAGGAUCAGAAUCAGGCUAUCUUCACCCGAGGAUGAAACUAUCGCUGAAGACUAAAGAAGAUGGGAAAAUAUGGCUCUCCUUGCCGUUGGGUUGCCACUUCUCAAAGCCUUCGGGGCCAGAGCUUAAGCUGUUCAACUCACUGAUAGCACACCAGUCAACGCUCCCAGCCUCGCUGAAGCACCUGGGUUUGAACAACAUUUCUUGGAGGCCGAACAUCCCCAUCUUUGGUCUGCUGUCGCCUGUAAAUGUCCUCGACUGUGGCCUACGCAAUCUUGCACAGCCCCACCAAUGA
RNAcentral lists this ribosomal RNA (1851 nucleotides) under Triticum aestivum (bread wheat). RNAcentral's name for it is "partial small subunit ribosomal RNA". The record is from RNAcentral. Lineage: Eukaryota; Viridiplantae; Streptophyta; Magnoliopsida; Poales; Poaceae.